Molecule: ribosomal RNA, 2931 nt
Filed under: Ambystoma mexicanum (axolotl)
Lineage: Eukaryota; Metazoa; Chordata; Amphibia; Caudata; Ambystomatidae
Description: eukaryotic LSU rRNA
Rfam family: Eukaryotic large subunit ribosomal RNA
Source: RNAcentral
AAGGCCUCAGAUCAGACGUGGCGACCCGCUGAAUUUAAGCAUAUUACUAAGCGGAGGAAAAGAAACUAAACCAGGAUGCCCUCAGCAACGGCCAGUGAAGAGGGAAGAGCCCAGUGCCAAAUCCCUGUUCAGCGGCAGGUGUGGGAAAUGUGGCAUACAGAAGACCGACUCCCGGCAUCGCUCUGGGGGCUCAAGUCCUUCUAAUCAAGUCACACAAUGCGGACGGUGUCAGGUCGGUAGCGGCCUCUGGUACGCCAGGAUCAGGUCUUCUUGGAGUCAGGUUGCUUGGGAAUGCAGCGCAAAGCAUGUGGUAAACUCAAUGUAAAGCUAAAUACGGGCGCGAGACCGAUGGCCAACAAGUACCGUAGGGAAAGUUGAAAAGAACUUUGAAGAGAGAGUUCAAGAGGGUGUGAAAGAACUUUGAAGAGAGAGUUCAAGAGGGCGUGAAACUGUCGAGAGGUAAACUGGUUCAGGUCCGUGCAGUCUGUCCGUAGGAUUCAAUACGGCGGGCAGGUUUGUCGCCUGGAUGGUGGAUGCUGUCGGAGGACUGCGGCCUGGUCACACUCGUCCCCCGCAGGGCGUAUUUCCUCUGUGGCGGUGCACCGCGACCGGCUAAGAAGGCCCCAGGGGGCAGAUGGCUCUCCGCUCUGGCAGAGUGUGUUACAGCCCCCUGACAGCAGUUUUGCUGUGUCCACAGGGCCUGAGGGAGCUUGACCGCUGCUGUGCCCUUCUCCGGCAACUGUCCUGGCCCCUCUUGAGGGUAGCUGAGGCAGUGACGGGAGACAGGGCUCCCGAUGCGACUGUGGUGGUCUGCUUUCAGUGCCCCCGGCGACGUAGUGCGGCUGGGUGGGGUGGCCCAUAAAGGGUGCCAGGGGUCUGAGGUGAUGCCAGUUACCCACGCUGCCUGUCUUGAAACACGGACCAAGGAGUCUAACACGUGCAUGAGUAGGAGGACCGAAUGAAACCCUGUGGUGCAAUAAAGGUGAGGGCCGGCGCGUGCCAAUUGCAGUGGUUUCCCGUCGCAGUGGGCGCACCACCGACCAGUCUCGCCCGCUCUGUCAGGGAGACGGAGCGUGUGUGUGUGAUAGGACCGAAAAGAUGGUGAACUAGGCCUGGUGGAGGUCCGUAGCAUUCCUGAUGUGCAAAUCGGUCGUCUGACCUGGGUAUAGCGGCGAAAGACUAAUCGAACCGUCUAGUAGCUGGUUCCCUCCGAAGGUUCCCUCAGGAUAGCUGGCGCAUGCAAACCCCAGUUUUAUCUGGUAAAGCCGAUGAGGUCUUGGGGCCAAAAUGAUCUCAACCUAUUCUCAAACUUUAAAUGGGUAAGUAGCCCGGCUCGCUGGCGUGGAGCCGGGCAUUGAAUGCAAGUGCCCAGUGGGCAACUUUUGGUAAGCAGAAUUGACGCCAUGUGAUAAACCGAAUGCUGGGUUAAGGCACCCGAUGCCGACGCGCAUCGGACCCCAGAAAAGGUGUUGGUUGAUAUAGACAGCAGGACGGUGGGCCUGGAAGUCAGAAUCUGCUAAGGAGUGUGUAACAACUCACCUGCCGAAUCAUACUAGCCCUGAAAAUGGAUGGCGCUGGAGCGUCUGGCCCUUACCCGACCGGGGCUGAGAGCCGUGGGGGAUAAGCUGCGACAAGUAGGAGGACUGCUGCAGUGUGCACGGAAGCCAAGGGCGAGUACCCAGGUGGAGUCGCUGCAGGUGCAGGUCUUGGUGGUAGUAGCAACUAUUCAAACAACUUUGAAGGCCGAGGUGGAGAAGGGUUCCAUGUGAACAGAAGUUGAACAGGAGUCAGUCGGUCCUAAGAAAUGGCUGAACGCCGCUCGGAAGGGACAGGCGAUGUCCUCCGUUGCCCUCAGCCGAUCGAAAGGGAGUCGGGUGCAGAUCUCUGAACCUGGUGUGGCAGAGACAGGCGCCCUCACGGCCUCCAGUGCGAUAACGCAAACUAUCCCAGAGAAGCUGGUGGGAUCCCCAGGAAGAGUUCUGUUCUGUUUGUGAAGGGCUGGGCACCCUGGAAUGAGUUUGGCCCGAGCCUUGAAGGUGUUGCAGUUCCGGUGGCGUCCAGUGAGCUCUUGCUGGUCCUUGAAAAUCUGGGGGAGAUGGUGUUAAUCUGGUGCCGGGCCGUACCCAUAUCCGCAGCAGUUCUCCAAGGUGAACAGCCUCUGGCAUUUUGGAACAAUGUAGGUAAGGGAAGUUGGCAAAGUCGGAUCCGUAACUUCGGGAAGGGCUGGGUCGGUCAGGCUGGUGAUGCACAUCGGGACUGGCUGCGCACUACAGCUGGAUGAGGUCUCCUCCCAGGGGGCAGUGCCAACUCUGGAUUUCUGCCCAGUGCCCACAAUGUCAAAGUGAAGAAAUUCAAUGAAGCGCGGGUAAACGGCGAGAGUAACUAUGACUCUCUUAAGGUAGCCAAAUGCCUCAUCAUCUAAUUAGUGACGCUUGAAUGGAUGAACGAGAUUCCCACUGUCCCUACCUACUACCUAGCGAAACCACAGCCGAGGGAAUGGGCGUGGCAGAAUCAGCAGGGACUGAAGACCUUGUUGAGGCACACUCUUGUCUGGCACUGUCAAGAGGUUAUAAAUAAAGGUGUUUAACUGCAGUUAAAUCCCUGGUCCUUCAGGCAAAGAGUACAUUACAAAAAUAAAGUGUAAACCAUUGUCUCUAGAGGCUAGAGACACCCGGGUGCUGUUCGAGUGUUUGUGACUCCGGUGGAUUUCACAGAAGUGACCCUGAUACACGGGAAUUAUUAAGAACAUGCACAUCCACACAAGCAAGGAACUGCUUUGGUGUCCACAAUUUGGAUAUAAAGGGGAGUUACUCAGCACACUGAUCACCACUUUUUGCGGGUCUACAAGAAUCUAUAGACGCCAGUGAAGGAUUUAAUCCUAAACAUCUAGCUUCAUACCCAGAUUGAUGGCAUGGGGAUUCAAAAAUGGCU